This 66-nucleotide transfer RNA is filed under the name uncultured Eubacterium sp. It matches the Rfam family "tRNA", at positions 6 to 65 of the family's 71-position model. From Rfam's summary of the family: Transfer RNA (tRNA) molecules are approximately 80 nucleotides in length. Their secondary structure includes four short double-helical elements and three loops (D, anti-codon, and T loops). The record is from RNAcentral. Lineage: Bacteria; Bacillati; Bacillota; Clostridia; Eubacteriales; Eubacteriaceae.
GGUGUGUAGCUCAGUUGGUAGAGCACUUGACUUUUAAUCAAGUUGUCCCGGGUUCGAGCCCCGGCA